RNAcentral lists this ribosomal RNA (468 nucleotides) under uncultured bacterium. Its description in RNAcentral is "partial 16S ribosomal RNA". It matches the Rfam family "Bacterial small subunit ribosomal RNA", at positions 28 to 507 of the family's 1533-position model. The record is from RNAcentral.
GACGAACGCUGGCGGCGUGCUUAACACAUGCAAGUCGAACGGAAAGGCCCUGCUUUUGUGGGGUGCUCGAGUGGCGAACGGGUGAGUAACACGUGAGUAACCUGCCCUUGACUUUUGGAUAACUUCAGGAAACUGGGGCUAAUACCGGAUAGGAGCUCCUGCUGCAUGGUGGGGGUUGGAAAGUUUCGGCGGUUGGGGAUGGACUCGCGGCUUAUCAGCUUGUUGGUGGGGUAGUGGCUUACCAAGGCUUUGACGGGUAGCCGGCCUGAGAGGGUGACCGGCCACAUUGGGACUGAGAUACGGCCCAGACUCCUACGGGAGGCAGCAGUGGGGAAUAUUGCACAAUGGGCGGAAGCCUGAUGCAGCAACGCCGCGUGCGGGAUGACGGCCUUCGGGUUGUAAACCGCUUUCGCCUGUGACGAAGCGUGAGUGACGGUGAUGGGUAAAGAAGCACCGGCUAACUACGUG